Molecule: ribosomal RNA, 463 nt
Filed under: uncultured bacterium
Lineage: Bacteria
Description: bacterial SSU rRNA
Rfam family: Bacterial small subunit ribosomal RNA
Source: RNAcentral
UUACGGAAGGCAGCAGUGGGGAAUUUUGGACAAUGGGCGAAAGCCUGAUCCAGCCAUGCCGCGUGAGUGAAGAAGGCCUUCGGGUUGUAAAGCUCUUUCGGUCGAGAAGAAAUGUCUAUGACUAAUACUUAUAGAAAAUGACGGUAUCGACAUAAGAAGCACCGGCUAACUACGUGCCAGCAGCCGCGGUAAUACGUAGGGUGCAAGCGUUAAUCGGAAUUAUUGGGCGUAAAGGGUGCGCAGGCUGUGUUGUAAGUCAGAUGUGAAAUCCCCGGGCUUAACCUGGGAAUUGCGUUUGAAACUGCAAUGCUAGAGUGUGAUAGAGGAGAGUGGAAUUCCAUGUGUAGCAGUGAAAUGCGUAGAGAUGUGGAAGAACACCAAUGGCGAAGGCAGCUCUCUGGAUUAACACUGACGCUCAUGCACGAAAGCGUGGGGAGCAAACAGGAUUAGAUACCCUGGUAGC